Molecule: ribosomal RNA, 497 nt
Filed under: uncultured bacterium
Lineage: Bacteria
Description: partial 16S ribosomal RNA
Rfam family: Bacterial small subunit ribosomal RNA
Source: RNAcentral
GAUGAACGCUGGCGGCGUGCCUAAUACAUGCAAGUCGAGCGAACAGACGAGGAGCUUGCUCCUCUGACGUUAGCGGCGGACGGGUGAGUAACACGUGGAUAACCUACCUAUAAGACUGGGAUAACUUCGGGAAACCGGAGCUAAUACCGGAUAAUAUAUUGAACCGCAUGGUUCAAUAGUGAAAGACGGCUUUGCUGUCACUUAUAGAUGGAUCCGCGCCGCAUUAGCUAGUUGGUAAGGUAACGGCUUACCAAGGCAACGAUGCGUAGCCGACCUGAGAGGGGGAUCGGCCACACUGGAACUGGGACACGGUCCAGACUCCUACGGGAGGCAGCAGUAGGGAAUCUUCCGCAAUGGGCGAAAGCCUGACGGAGCAACGCCGCGUGAGUGAUGAAGGUCUUCGGAUCGUAAAACUCUGUUAUUAGGGAAGAACAAAUGUGUAAGUAACUAUGCACGUCUUGACGGUACCUAAUCAGAAAGCCACGGCUAACUACGUG